CCCAACUGGACGGCGAUAAAUGGUGGCCCGUACGGGGAGCCCCCUUUCUCCGUUUCUAACAGUGCACUGAGAGGGAGACCUUCCAGUUUUGCUGAGACAGAAAAGAGACUUUGGUAUCACUGCUGCCAUGGUGAUAGCUGUUGCCGCCGCUGCUGCUGCUACUGCACUUGCCGUUGCUAUUCCUGCAGCCAAGGAGAUUAAUCAACUGUUUACGAAUACCGCAGAAGCUCUACAAACCCAGAGUGCAAUUAAUGAUCAUCUCGCUGGAUAUCAUGCACAAGGUUUGACCAUGGAGUGGGGGUCACAUGGCAACCAUGAGAAAGAAUGGAUUCUACUAACAACUUGAAUGGUCCUGAAGUGACUGCUGACCCAGAGGUUCCUGAGACCAUCCAGUGCCUCAUGAACCAUGAUUUCACCCUUAUAGGGCCCUAACCAGAAAGCCCAGUCAAACCCACUAAAAU
Molecule: long non-coding RNA, 461 nt
Filed under: Mustela putorius furo (domestic ferret)
Lineage: Eukaryota; Metazoa; Chordata; Mammalia; Carnivora; Mustelidae
Description: lncRNA (ENSMPUG00000026323.1)
Source: RNAcentral